GGCCAUGCAUGUCUAAGUUCACACUGUCCCACGGUGAAACCGCGAAUGGCUCAUUAAAUCAGUCGAGGUUCCUUAGAUGACACGAUCCUACUUGGAUAACUGUGGCAAUUCUAGAGCUAAUACAUGCUUACCAAGCUCCGACCCUCGUGGAAAGAGCGCUUUUAUUAGUUCAAAACCAAUCGUCGUUACCCUUCGCGGGGUGGCGGCGUCCCCACUGGUGACUCUGGAUAACUUUGUGCUGAUCGCAUGGCCUCACGUGCCGGCGACGCAUCUUUCAAAUGUCUGCCCUAUCAAAUGUCGAUGGUACGUGACAUGCCUACCAUGUUUGUAACGGGUAACGGGGAAUCAGGGUUCGA
Molecule: ribosomal RNA, 356 nt
Filed under: Deroceras sp. AEK-2021
Lineage: Eukaryota; Metazoa; Mollusca; Gastropoda; Stylommatophora; Agriolimacidae
Description: SSU rRNA
Rfam family: Eukaryotic small subunit ribosomal RNA
Source: RNAcentral